RNAcentral lists this long non-coding RNA (1138 nucleotides) under Polistes dominula (European paper wasp). Its description in RNAcentral is "uncharacterized LOC107071514, transcript variant X1". Lineage: Eukaryota; Metazoa; Arthropoda; Insecta; Hymenoptera; Vespidae. The record is from RNAcentral.
UAAAUAUUUACCUGUAGAUGAAGAUAUUACAGUUUAUAAUGCUGUUUCCUGCGUUCUAAAACCAGUUACUUGGAGUACUAUGGAGAAUUACCUGAAAACUAACGGAUUUAAUGUUCCAUGGAAAAAAAACAAUUUAAUACUGCUCCUGAAUGUUGAACAAAAACUAUUAUUUCGAUAUUUUUCUGAAAAUUUUUUUGCACUGGAUACCUGUAUCCAGUGCAAAAAAAUUUUCAGAAAGGCGAGGGUCAAACGGCGAAUAAAAUAUUGGUUGGUAUACCAAAUGGGAAAAGACUACUAGGUAGACCGGGACGUAGAUUUGAGGAUAAUAUUAGAAGAAACCUGAAAGAAAUAGUUUAUGAAGACAGCCAAUGGAAGGAUCGCGCUCAUGGACGGGAACAAUAGCGGGAAUUGGUGGAAGCACGUCUUUACUCAAUCAGGAGUAGAAAAAAGAAUAAACGAAUAACGAAUAAACCAAAAGAAAAAUGUUUCGUCGCCAAGCACUUAAGAUGCAGCUGUUCCUUGGUAGGGAUAAAGAAAACAAAGAUUAAAAAGGACCGCCCAUCGAUAGAACCAUAUAUGUAAUACUUCUAUAUGGACAGUUUAAAUGGGAAGGAAUGUCCCACCAUAUAUGUAAUACUUCUAUAUGGACAGUUUAAAUGGGAAGGAAUGUCCCACUAUUAAGGUGCCGACAUAUACUAUUUUCUCUCUCGUCCCACAUACCUGGUAACUGGUUCACGUUGCGCAUGCUUGAGAAUUCCCCAUGAUAUUAAUAGAGGGAGAAGAAUGAGCGGAAUAAUUUUGUGGUUAUGAUUCUGUUUACAAAUAUAUUUAUUAUUGUAAUUCAGAAAAACAAUUAUAAAUUUUAAAAAACUUUUGUUUUAAUUUAAAUAAUAUUCUUUUUCCAACAAUCAGUUAUUGAAAAAUGGUGAAGUUGUGUUAUUUAUGUGAUAGAAAAGCGUCGAGAGCUGACAAUAUUUCUUUGCAUCAAUUUCCGAAAAAUUUGGAGAUACGUUUGAAGUGGCUAAAUGCUUGUGGAUUAACUGAAAAUAAUGAUGUAAAAAGAACUUACAUAUGUUCCAGACAUUUCAAAGCUGAUGAUAUUUGUCAAUCAAAAAUUUUUGGAGUUGUUAAAUCUUCU